UAGGGAAUCUUCGGCAAUGGGGGGAACCCUGACCGAGCAACGCCGCGCGAGUGAAGAAGGCUUUCGGAUUUUAAAGCCCUCUUGUUAAGGAAGAACGAGUGUGAGAACGGACAGCUCAUACCGUGACUGUACCUAAUCAGAAAGCGUCGGCUAACUACGUGUCAGCAGCUGCGGUAAUACGUAGUCUCCGCGCGCCGUCCGGAUUUUUUGGGCGUAAAGCGAGUGCAGGUGGCUUGAUUAGUCUGAAGCUAAAGGCAGUGGAACAAUCAAAUUAGGCUUUAGAACAUGUUUAACUUGAGUGGAAAAGGGGAGAGUGGAAUUCCGUGUGGAGCGGAGAACUGCAUAGAUAUAGGGAGAAACGCCGGUGGAAGGAGCGGCUCUCUGGUCUGUAUAUGACGCGGAGGCUAGAAAGCGAGGGGAGCGAACAGG
This 429-nucleotide ribosomal RNA is filed under the name Bacteroidota bacterium. Its description in RNAcentral is "Bacteroidetes bacterium partial 16S ribosomal RNA". It matches the Rfam family "Bacterial small subunit ribosomal RNA", at positions 355 to 776 of the family's 1533-position model. The record is from RNAcentral. Lineage: Bacteria; Pseudomonadati; Bacteroidota.